Molecule: long non-coding RNA, 490 nt
Organism: Aethina tumida (small hive beetle)
Lineage: Eukaryota; Metazoa; Arthropoda; Insecta; Coleoptera; Nitidulidae
Exons: 3
Source: RefSeq, a predicted model, not a curated record
CCUAUACACAACCUUGGAGGAAAGCUAAGAAAGAAGGCCUUUUAUAUUUGUCAAAGUUGCAGGGACGAUAGUUGGUCAAUCCUGAGAAUUUAGGUACCCCAAAUGGGGAGCCAACUAUGUAUUUGAUCUAAGCGGUAGCUUAUGUCUAUAAAAUUUACUGUUCAAAGCUAUAAACAAGUAUUCAUAAUUUGUUCAAGAUGGCAUGUGGUUGCAUUUGUUGUCCUUUAUGGCUAUUUUUGCUUUUAACUUUAGCAUUUCCCAUUGCCAUAAUAAUGUCGCCGUUCUUCGUGGUCAUCGCUUUCUUAAAUGCCAUUUGCUGUGAAAAUUGUCAAUGCUGUUCUGAUUUCGUUAUGAACUGCAUGAAGUUGCCCGCCACCUGCGUCUACAAGAUGUACCGCUGUGAAGGAUGUGGAUCUAAAGAUUGAUUAAAUUGGUUCUUUCAAUGUAAUAUUUGUAGUCUUGUAAUAAAUUUAAAUAGGUAGUCAAGACA